RNAcentral lists this ribosomal RNA (253 nucleotides) under Eubacterium ventriosum. RNAcentral's name for it is "partial 16S ribosomal RNA". It matches the Rfam family "Bacterial small subunit ribosomal RNA", at positions 524 to 776 of the family's 1533-position model. Lineage: Bacteria; Bacillati; Bacillota; Clostridia; Eubacteriales; Eubacteriaceae. The record is from RNAcentral.
UACGUAUGGGGCAAGCGUUAUCCGGAUUUACUGGGUGUAAAGGGAGCGUAGGCGGUAUGGCAAGUCAGAAGUGAAAGCCUGGGGCUCAACCCCGGAAUCGCUUUUGAAACUGUCAAACUAGAGUGUCGGAGGGGUAAGCGGAAUUCCUAGUGUAGCGGUGAAAUGCGUAGAUAUUAGGAGGAACACCGGUGGCGAAGGCGGCUUACUGGACGACCACUGACGCUGAGGCUCGAAAGCGUGGGGAGCAAACAGG